AGAGUUUGAUCCUGGCUCAGAACGAACGCUGGCGGCACGCCUAACACAUGCAAGUCGAACGAACCCUUCGGGGUUAGUGGCGCACGGGUGCGUAACGCGUGGGAAUCUGCCCUUUGCUUCGGAAUAACAGUUAGAAAUGACUGCUAAUACCGGAUGAUGUCUUCGGACCAAAGAUUUAUCGGCAAAGGAUGAGCCCGCGUAGGAUUAGGUAGUUGGUGGGGUAAAGGCCUACCAAGCCGACGAUCCUUAGCUGGUCUGAGAGGAUGAUCAGCCACACUGGGACUGAGACACGGCCCAGACUCCUACGGGAGGCAGCAGUGGGGAAUAUUGGACAAUGGACGCAAGUCUGAUCCAGCAAUGCCGCGUGAGUGAUGAAGGCCUUAGGGUUGUAAAGCUCUUUUACCAGGGAUGAUAAUGACAGUACCUGGAGAAUAAGCUCCGGCUAACUCCGUGCCAGCAGCCGCGGUAAUACGGAGGGAGCUAGCGUUGUUCGGAAUUACUGGGCGUAAAGCGCACGUAGGCGGUUACUCAAGUCAGAGGUGAAAGCCCGGGGCUCAACCCCGGAACUGCCUUUGAAACUAGGUAACUAGAAUCCUGGAGGGGUGAGUGGAAUUCCGAGU
Molecule: ribosomal RNA, 620 nt
Filed under: uncultured bacterium
Lineage: Bacteria
Description: bacterial SSU rRNA
Rfam family: Bacterial small subunit ribosomal RNA
Source: RNAcentral